RNAcentral lists this transfer RNA (70 nucleotides) under Ictidomys tridecemlineatus (thirteen-lined ground squirrel). RNAcentral's name for it is "Spermophilus tridecemlineatus (thirteen-lined ground squirrel) tRNA". It matches the Rfam family "tRNA". Rfam says of the family: Transfer RNA (tRNA) molecules are approximately 80 nucleotides in length. Lineage: Eukaryota; Metazoa; Chordata; Mammalia; Rodentia; Sciuridae. The record is from Rfam by way of RNAcentral.
GGGGAUAUAGCUCAUUUGGAGAGCGCUUGCCUCUCAUGCAAGGCCCUGGGUUCAAUCCCCAGCAUCACAC